CCAAAUUCCAUCAAGUGAAGAACCGGGAUCUACAAGCACAAACACAAUGGAGAUCAGACACUUAAUUUCCCAAAGGAAAUAUUGAAUAACCUCUGUGUCCGAGUUGGUACCUUGUACGCUUCAGCAAACUUCGUGGUGAUAGAGACUAGUAGUGAGGAGAGGGCACCCAUCAUCUUAGGGAGGCCAUUCCUAAACACCAGGGCAGUCAUCUAAGCUAAUGCUGUCCAGAUCAGUCUCUACAUCAAGGGGAAGAAGGAGAUUUUCCUUCAAGAACAAGACUACACAAACUUCAGAGCAAUCCCGACAUGAACCAAGGAAGAGGACCAACAGGAGGAACAGGAACAAGCAAAUGUGGACCGAGUCAGCUAAGAUGGUCACUGCAGCUCAUGGAGGUCAAGAUCGUCGACUCAAGUCACCUUUCUUGAUCAAGAAGGACGACCCUAGUGUUCCAAGAAUCGAAUGCACAAACAAUGGAUACUCUUUUUUUAGAAGACACUCUACGACACCGGAUCUAACGACAACAUAAUGGCCGCAGUCACUUAUCAGCUCCUGCAUGGAACCAUGCUCCUACAACCAAGAUACAUUCAGCUUCAGACAAUUUUCAGGUCAUGGGAGAAGACGAGUAUGAUUCAUCCACCAUCCUUGGAAGACCGUUCCUCAGCACUAUCAAAGCCAUUAUCUAUAUUGGAACCGGAGAAGUCCACAUGCACUUCCCCUCUGAGAAGGUACGCCACUACUUUAAUGAUUCUAACUAUAUAGUUGAAGAUUCUAAGCAGGUCAGGACAAGAAGAAGACAAACCGCAACCAGAGGAGGCAAAUCGGACGGAAGGGUAGACUACGAAAGAGAAGUGAUAAGGACUGAAGACAUACAACUUGAACAGAACUGUCCUGAGGAGACCGUAGCACCGAGUCAGGUGUGGAAAGAGAAGAUAGUUAUACACGAAGAGGAGGCGCCGCCGGAACCACCGACUAUGCCACCCAGCAAAUCCCAGGACGACUAAGAAAACGGAGAGUCCCGUUCGGAGGACUUAAAAAUACCGAACGCCUUGCCAAGAGGUAAACUUGGUAGUUAUCCUUUCCCUUUCAAUUAUUUUAAAUAGUUUACUUAGUUAAUCAUAUUCAUACUAUCUUAAAAAUAAAAGAAAAUAAAAAUGUGAAAAACAGUAAGCCCCAUGUGAGUAUACGAGUGGCAUAAAACCCAUAAGUACAUUCACUGUGGUGGCAUAAAAAUAAAAUAAAUAUUUUUCUGCUUUAUAAAAUGAAAAUAUAAAAAACAGGGAGUAAUAAUUAUUAAGGAGUCUCAAGAUGAUAAAGGCUAGAUAUUUAUGCUAACACUUAAUCAGUUCCACAAGCUUUGUUGUCUAUUUGAGCUCCACAGAAUUUAAGAAUCAAGAAGACUAGCAGACGGAGGACAUUCUAAUCGCUGUCAGAAUGCUGCUGACUUUCAAAAACACCUCUACCACCUGCUAGCUACAUCAAGAGAAAUUACGUCAAAAUUCAGCUUGGGGGAGAGCACCCCCAUUUAUCUCGAUAAGUAUUUCUAUCUAUCUAUCUUUAUACUUAUACUAUAUUAGAAUAUAAAUACACAUAACUAUGAAAAACCAAAUAAAGAUUUUAUGCUUAUAUAUAUUUUGCUUAGUGUGUUUAAUAAAUAAAUAAAGUGGCUAUGCUAAUCUGUAUCUAAUAAAACUUAAGCAUGGAUAUGAUGAAUAGUUGCUCUGCCUAAUUUGCAAAUUUGAAGUUCUCUCUCAAGUUUAGAUGUAACUGUUAUAAUUUAAGGCUUGCUCUAGACCUAAACUUGUGGGAUGAAAACUUGAUCUGAAGUCUAAGUUGUUAACGGAUACGAUAUGGGAAGGUUGAGCUGCUGUUUAUCUGUUCCUAGAGAUGCUAGAAUUCUGGAGAAUUUUAUCUUUGAAAAUCUUUAAAAUAUUGCAUGAUGAGUUCCUGUAUGAUGAGAGUUUAAAUUCCUACCACAGCCAUAUAUACAUGCUUGCUAGACCUUGAGCCACACAUUUACUAUUUACUGCUUAUGAGCAUUGAGUGUGGUCAAGCUGUGUAGACCCUUAGGAGCUUGUCAUGUGGGUAAAUCAAGAUUCACUUGCACGUUCACUCAUACAUGCUACUUCUACUCUGGAAGUACCAUCCACAUAUAUCCACUCAUUUCCAUCUCCAAAACCACCCAAAAGUAUUCUACUCCUAAUCCGGGAGAGAAUAACCAAAAAUAUUUCUGUUUCCCCUUGUGAAAUAAAUGCUCAAGUUAUCUUGUUACUACCACUUGCUAUAUUAUUUAAGGAGAUGAGUGCUCUAAAAAAAGAAAGAAAAUAAUAUACGAGGAAAUAAAAAGGGGCAAGUGCCCGGAACCUCGAAGAAAAGAAAAAGUGAGACGAGAGGUAAAAAUGGACAAGUGUCCGACAGUAGAAUUAGGAGUACAAGAUACCCACCUGAGAGGUAAGAAAAAAGAAAAUAUAGAGCAUCUCAUUCUCCCCAAAAAAAAAGCUUCUAAGUGCAAGAAAGGUAUGUAUCCCCUUAAAAGAGCAAAAGUAGAAUUAGACUUUCACCAUUGUUAUCUCCAUCAUCACCAUACACCAUUCAUUCGCCACACAUGCACAUCUUGAUUUGACUUAUUGAUUUGUUUCUCUGGAUCCAUGGUUUGACUAUGCAAUAAAUGUCUUGUAAGUAUGUAUACUUUAUCUCCCACCUAUGAGCUCCAGAUAUUAAAGCCUUAUUAGAGUAGGGUGAGAGAGAAGACAAUGUAACUAUGCUUCAUACCACAAAUACUACAUAUCUUGAGAGAAGGCAUAUACCAUCACUGCCUUGGUAAGGAUCCAAAAAUACCACAAAAGAGAGACCUGAGAGAAUCAUACAAGGAAUUUCUGAGUUUUAUUUGAAAAUCUGCAAAAACCCCAGAGCUAUAGCUGAUCAAGAAUAAGAGACAUGGCACUUGGCUAGACUGUUCUAUCUUUUAACCACUCAAGACAGAAGUGACGGUUACAAGUCCUAUGGUGUAGGUAAAGUAAGUAAGUUUUAAGUCUUAACAGUUUAUUCUAACUCAGAGAUGAGAUCUUGCUUAAAUGCGUGUGUACUUCUAAGAAACGAAACCACUGCAGAAACUCUUGAGUUCAUCCUUGCUCAGGGACGAGCAAGAGGUAAGCUUGGGGGAGUUUGUUGACGGUCCUUAAGUAUCAAAUUUAAUUAUCAAAUAAACAAAGAAAAGGAUCCAAAUGAAAUCAACAUCUAGACUUAGGGUUUUAUGUGACAGAAUUCCACGAGUUUUGGUGUUUGUCUAUUUCUGCAGGGGGUUAUCAGGAAAUAAGGAAGAAAGGCCCACAUGUCAGGAUUACAUAGAGAUAUCAACCCACCGCGCAAUUUUCUACCAUCUAGAAGACUCCAGAAGCCACGGAAAGGAAGCGGAGCCCGAAAGGGGCCAGGCCCAGGGCGCCCACCCUAAGGACCUGGGCGCCCGCCCACCUCUGGACCCCGUUCCGAACUCUCUUCGCACACGACGUUCCACCGACCUAUUGGAUCCAGAAUAACAUAGUACCACCUCGCCUAUCGACCCAAAAACACAUAGAAGGGGAGGACUAUAUAAGGAGACCCCCUCUGGCCCCUGGAGGAGACAAGAAAUUAUCAUAGAGAUUGAGGGGUGCCCUCGAAGGAAAACCUCUUCUCUAAAUAAUAUUUCUUUUUAGGCUUAGCAACCAAUGUAAAGUAGAAAUAGAUCUUCUCGUUUCUACUAGAUUGAGAGAGAUAGAGUGGAGGUGUGGAUCGGAGGAAGGCCGGCCUGUCGGUGUCUACUCCGAGUUGUACCUACGGGAUCAAGUCUCCUAACCCGAGGCUUGCUUCUAAGAUUUUCAGUAAUUCGACUUCUAAUAAUAGUAAGUUCUUCUUUUAUUGUUCUUUGGUUUAUGAGUUUACUUUAAUCCUCUUCCGGUUGAGUAUUAGAGUAAUCACUUGUUAGCGUAAACGUGGUGUUUAGGCUAGGGGACUCAUAGAUAUCCCCUGACUAGCUGGACCGUGGUAGUAGCGAGGAACGUGACAUUUCCGAGUUACCUUUGCAGAUCACAUCUCGUUAGCAGGACGGGUAGGUUUAUAGGUGCGGGUCGAACAUCCUUGUGUUGUCUAGAUUCCGUGAGCCUCCCCAAUAGAACAGUAGAUCAUCCUUACCAAGGUUAGAACGAGACUACGGUUGUAGUCUUCUCUAUACAUCACUCACAUCGAGAGACAUUCUUUGUAGCCUAAAGGGAUAGUAGCAAUAGAUUUGGUUAGUCAGAUGCACCCUUUCUCCCAGUGGUAAAAAUAUAAAUACGAUAACUCUGGAUAACCUCCCGGGUGAAAUGCUCACCGAUAUCCGUGCGCUUGCGGAUCAUUUUCUAAUUGCGUUACCAAAUAUCAACAAGCUCCAGAUAUCAAAAGCCUUAUUAGAGUAGGGUGAGAGAGAAGGCAAUGUCACUAUGCCUCAUACCAAAAAUACCACAUACUUUGAGAGAAGGCAUACACCAUUACUGCCUUGCUAAGGAUCCAGAAAUACCACAAAAGAUAGACUAGAGAGAGUCAUACAAGGAAUCUCUGAAUUUUAUUUGAAAAUCUGCAAAAAACUCCAAAGCUAUAGUUAAUCGAAGAAUAAGAGACAUGGCGCUUGACUAGACUGUUCUAUCUUUUAACUGCUCAAGAUAGAAGUGACGGUUACAGGCCCCAUGGUGAAAGGUAAAAUAAGUAAGUUUAAAUCUUAACAGUUACCCUAACCCAAAGAUGAGAUCUUGUUUGAACGCAUGUGUAUCAUUAAGGCAUGAAACCACUGCAGAAACUCUUGAGUUCAUCUUUGCUCAGGGAUGAGCAAAGGUUAAGCUUGGGGGAGCUUGUUGACGGUCCUUAAUGCUCACAUUUAACCAUCAACUAAUCAUGGAAAAGGACUUAUAUGCAACCAACACCUAGACUUAGGGUUUUAUCUGACAGAAUUCCACGAGUUUUGGUGUUUGUCUAUUUCUGCAGGGGGUUAUCAGGAAAUACGGAAGAAAGGCCCACACGUCGGGUUUACAUAGAGAUAUUAACGUGCCGUGCAAUUUUCUAUCAUCUAGAAGACUCCAGAAGCCAUGGGAACGAAGCGGAGGCCGAGAGGGCUCAGGCACCGGGCGCCCGCCCUAGUCCUGAGGGCGCCCGCCCUGCUACAGUGCUCAAUCAGAGUCCAAUUCGGGGACAACGCUCCACCGACCUAAAGGAUCAAGGAAAACCGUGCGAUUAAUGUCGGUUUGAUCCAAUGGCCCAUAUUCACUUGAAGGGACUAUAAAACCAGACCCCCCUGGCCCCAGGAGAUCAUACCUCUUCUACAGAAUCAAAGCUAGGGUUUCAAUUCUUCAUCCAAGUAGUGAGGAUCCCUCUAGUUCUUCUAGUUCUACCUCUAGUUCAUCUAGAUCCAGUUCUAGUUCAUCUAUUUCUAGUUCUAGUUCCUCUAGUUCUAGUUCUAGUAAGUUCUAGUUGUAAUCUAGAAAAUAGGAAGAGAGAAGAGGAGAGCGGAGGAGGAGCCGGAUCUGUCGGAUCUUCCUCAAUAUUAUACUUUUGCAGCAACUGGUUUGUUCUUCAUCGUUCUCCAGGUUCUUCAAUUCACAAUUCCUGAGUUCUUUAAUUACUUUUAUUUACAUUCAAGUUAUUUAUUGGAUUCCCGCUUGCAUCAAGUGCUCUAAUCUUUGAAACAUUAGAGUAGUAAUUAAUAGAUUAGACGUGGUGUUUAGUCUUGCAAUUACCUGGAAUUGCACCCAAUCCUGCGGAUUGUUGUCAUAGCCUUAGGGUAGUGAUAGCCCUAACGGUCGACGUAUUCCACCUCGUUCGGAUCGGUGUUUGUAGGACCGUAGUCAGACCUUCCUAGCCCCCUUCUCAUCUCUUUCUGUGGUUAGUGCUCUGAUGUCCCGAUAUAAAUAAUCUUUGAAGUAAUUCUUGAUUCUUAGAUCAAUUAGAGAACUCUCAGGAAACUUCCUCUCUUCCCACCAAAAAUAAUUAUAUAGUUAUCCUUGGGCGAUCUUGGAUCUUAAUUAGUACACUCACGUUCUCUGUGGAAAAUCGAUACUCUGAAAUACUCCCAGGUGAAAGCUACAUCGAUAUCCGUGCGCUUGUGGAUUUUUCUGUUUGCGUUUAAAAUACCCAACACAUGCCUCAAGGACGAGAUGGGCGAGCUUCUACAGGGUCGGAACUGUGGCCUCACCACUCAGCAGAGGAGAUCACCAGUCACAUAUGUAAAAACCUGUGCCCCCUUGAGACUAUAAAAGGGGAGCCAGGGCUCACAACCAUGACACGGCCAUCCACACAACACACAAUGACGGCAAAGCAACACCACACUCCAAGCGAGUUCUCACACAGAGUAGCUAGCAGCGCUCUAUCCACCACGCAAAGCCGAGACUUGGGACUUAGCCCUCUCUUGCAACCUGCUUGUACACCCCUAUUACAAGCACCUUUGGGUGCAAGGCAAUACAGACCCCCGAUCUCACUGGACGUAGGGCAUCCUUAGCCCGAACCAGUAUAAACUCUCUGUGUUCCACUUGCAUCACCAUCCAGGUUUCGGUGCUCACGCAUACUUAUACACGUUUGUGUCUAGACCACGAGUCUAGACGCCGACCACAGGAUUUUCCCAAAGUUUCAUUAUCUUUUUGUUUAAAAGAUAGGACUUCGAGUCUAAGGUCGCCGAUACGGUCGAGGGAAUAGAAAUCUAGACAAAAGUUGGAUCGUAAAACUCCCCGUUCACCUCGUUGUUGACUUACCUUCUCACUGUACCAUUGUCUAGCUUCUCCCCUUAAAGAAAAAGGAAAAAGCAUCCAACGUAAAGUUUUAUCAGAAAUGCCUUUAAUGCGAACACAAUCACAUGUUUGCUCAAAAUCUCUAAUGUGAAGGUAAGGGUUUUCGUCUUCCUUUCCCGAAAAAGAUAGGUUUUGAAUCAUGGCAAUCAACCUAGAACUUAACCUAUACUGGGAUGUUUGGAUAGGUAGUGAUGACUCCCAUGGUAAAAGGUCAGUUACUGAAGUAUUGCUAAUUCAUGGAUCGAUUUAGAAUUUUGGUUUUCCAUAAGAUAAGAGUAAUGAAAAUAAAUAAAGAAUAUAAAAGAUAAGAAAAGAUAAAAGUAUAGAUACAAGCUAGUAGUAAGACUCAAGGUUAUCUCAGCAAACCGUCUUUCUCCCCAGCAACGGUGCCAGAAAUGCUUGUUGAUAUUUGGGACCGCAAUAAGGAAUGGAUCCGCAAGCGCACGGAUACGGUGAGCACUUCACCUGGGAGGUUAUCUAGAGUAUCGUAUUUAUUUUUUUACCACUAGGAGAAAGAGUGUAUCUGACUAACCUGGUCUAUUACUACUAACCUUUAGGCUACAAAGAAUGUUUCUCGAUGUGAGUGAUAAAUAGAGAAGACUACAACCGUAAUCUCUUUCUAACCUUGGUAAGGAUGAUCUACUAUUCUAUUGGGGAAGCUUAUGGAAUCUAGACACCACAGAGGAUGUUCAACCCGCACCUAUAAACCCUAUCCUUCCUGCUAACGAGAUAUGGUUUGCAAAGGUAACUCGGAAAUAUCACGUUCCUCGCUACUACCGCAGUCCAGCUAGUCAGGGGAUAUCUAUGAGUAUCCUAGCCCAAACACAACGUCUACGCUAGAGAUGAUUACUCUAAACUCUACGCGAAGAGAUUAAAGUAAACUCAUAAACCAAAGAACAAUAAAACAAGAACUUACUAGAAUUUAGAAGUCGAAAUACUGAAGAAUCCUAGAAGCAAGCUUCGGGUAAGGAGAACUUGAUCCCGCAGGUACAACCUCGGAAUAGACACCGACAGGCCGGGCUUCCUCCGAUCUACACCUCCACUCUAUCUCUCUCAAUCUAGUAGAAACUAGAAGAUCUAAUUCUACUCACAUUGGAUGCUGAGCCUAAAAGAAAUUUUAUUUAGAGGAGAGGUAUUCCUUCGAGGGCUCCUCUCAACUCUAUGAUGAACUUGUCUCCUCUAGGGGCCAGGGGGUCUGGUUUUAUAGUCCCCUCAAGUGAACAUGAGCCAUUGGAUCAAACCGACAUUGAUUGGACGGUUAUCCUUGAUCCUUUAGGUCGGUGGAGCUUGGUCCACGAAAAGAGUCGCGAUUGGAGUCCAGGAGGGGGCGGGCGCCCUGGGCUAGGCCCCGUUCGGGCUCCGCUUUGUUCCCGUGGCUUCUGGAGUCUUCUAGAUGGUAGAAAAUUACGCGGUGCAUUGAUAUCUCUAUGUAAUCCCGACAUGUGGGCCUUUCUUCCUUAUUUCCCGAUAACCCCCUACAGGAACAGAUAAACAACAAAACUCGUCGAAUUCUGUCAGAUUAAACCCUAAUUCUAGGUGUUGUUUGCAUAUUGGUCCUUUCUCUUAUUUAUUUGAUAAUUAAAAUUGAUACUUAAGAAACAUAAACAGGCAUAUACCAUCACUGCCUUGGUAAGGAUCCAGAAAUACCACAAAAGAGAGAAUUAAGAGAGUCAUACAAGGAAUCUCUGAGUUUUAUUUUAAAAAUCUACAAAAACACUAGAGCUAUAGUUGAUCAAAGAACAAGAGACAUGGUGCUUGACUUGACCAUUCUAUCUUUUAACAACUCAAGACAUAAGUGACGGUUGCAAGCCCCAUGGUGAAAGGUAAAAUGAGUAAGUUUUAAGUCUCAACAGUUUAACCUAACCGAGAGAUGAUGUUGACGAUCCUUAAGUAUCAAAUUUAAUUAUCAAAUAAAUAAAGAAAAGGAUCCAAAUGAAAUAAAGAUCUAGACUUAGGGUUUUAUCUGACAGAAUUCCACGAGUUUUGGUGUUUGUCUAUUUCUGCAGGGGGUUAUCAGGAAAUAUGGAAGAAAGGCCCACAUGUCAGGAUUACGUAAAGAUAUUAACGUGCUGCGCAAUUAUCUUACAUCUAGAAGACUCCAGAAGCCACGAGACCGAAGCGGAGGCGAAUCGGGGCCAGAGACAGGGCGCCCGCCCUGUCCAACUAGGCGCCCGCCCUGCCCCCAAGUCCAAUCAGGACUCUGCUUUGCGGGAAGUCUACACAGACCUAAAGGAUGAAUCUAAACCAUACAAUCUAUGUCGGUUUGAUCCAAGGGCCCAUAUUCACUUGAAGGGACUAUAAAACCAGACCCCCUGGCCCCUGGAGGAGAGAGCCUCUCAACCCUAAUUCAUUGUUCCAUCAAGGGAGAAGAAGCCUCUGAUCAAGAUUAGAGCCACCACAUCAAUUAGACAUCUAGAUUAGCAUAGCUACAUAGGAUUAGAACUAGAAGGAGUCAAUCUUCGAUUGGUUUCCGGAUCUGUCAGGAGGAUUCUUGGUAAUUCUCUAAUUGUGCUUCUAAUUGCUUUCUAAUUAUCUUUGUUCUUCAAUAUUAUGAAUAUGACUUUGUUCUACUUCAAUAUAUUGCUUAUGACUUUGCUCUACUUGCUUAUAUUCAAGAUUAUAUUGUUCUUAGUUUAUCAUAGUUAUGUACUUGCCUUAGUUAGAUACGAUCUAUAUACAUGCUUAGGAUCGUAUAGCGUUUAUCCAUUGGAUCCAUGGGUAAAUGAUAGAUAUUGUGUAGGCGUGGUUCUUAUACCGUAUUUAUCUGCGAUUGUACCCAAUAUGCCAGAUCGUGGGGUAGUUCGUGAUAGUGACAGCUUCAUUGAUUCUUAUAUAGUCCCCCUCUCGUGUAUUGGGCUGGCAGAGCAACAUUAUUACAGGGGAGUGAUUGCUAUGUUUCUCAUAUUCCUUGCUAAUGUCACUAUGCAUGGGCGUAGUCUUGUCUCGCAAUGAUUGCUAAGUAUGCUUGCACUAACUAUGAUAUGCUAGACUAUAUAGUUGAGAAUAACUUAGGGAAUAUUCUUGUAGUUCGUUCUAAUACCAUGCUAAUGACUUUCUAGAGUAUCUAAUUGAGGUGCUUAUCAUAUUUAUUAUGUGGCUAGAUCAGAUUAGUUAUCCUUGUCACUAUUAUCAUUUCAUAUAUCUUUUAUGUGACACUUAUCCCUGUAUGAUGAGUUAGAUAUAAUGUUCCCAAUUAUACAUGCAAUGAUAGAUGCUCAAUCUCAUAUUCUAUUCUGUAAUCAAUAGUGAUGAUUGACUAAUCCCUUCCCAGUGGUAAAAAUAUAAAUAACGAUACCUGGAAUACUUCCCGGUCAAAAUGCUGCAUCGGUAUUAAUCUGUGCGCUUGCAGAUCCCAUUCAUUAUUUAUUUAGAAGAGCAAUUGCAUAUUUCAAUACCGCGUCUCUCAUGUCAUGCUGGGGAUGACAACUUGGCUUAAGUGUUGUGAGGGAUAGGUUUUGCAUUUUUGGCACCGUUGCUAGAUUUAGAACUUAGUCUACUUUUGGUAAUGAUGUUAAGAAUACCCAACAAGCAUAUUUUUGGCGCCAUUGCCGGGGAAGGUUGAUUACCAAUCAGGAAUGGAAUAAAAGAUUUUGAGUCAUCAUUCGCAUCACUAAUAUGAUUGAGCUUAUCUAUUCUCUCAUACAAUUUUACCCCGAUAUUUUUCUAUUUUAUCUUAUGCAGGGGAAUGUAUGAAUAGAAGACAUCUUCCAGGGAAUUUUGUUGACGAUCCUGAAGCAUUAUUCAAGAAGACGAGAGCCAAGCUAAAGAAAUCAUCAACACUUCACGAAGAAGCUUCAUCCAAUCAAGAAGAUCACCGGAACUUGUCUUCGGAGUUCGAAGCCAUGGCGAACAAAUCGAUCCGCGAGUUCUCAGCUCCCACUACGGACAACAUUCGCACUGGACCUGCUGCAGAGAUCGAUGGCAACUUUGAGCUCAAGCCUGGACUUAUCAACAUGGUGCAAUCCAACCAGUUCUGUGGGAAGGCACACGAAGAUGCUAGUGCUCAUUUACAACACUUCCUGGAGAUUUGCAACACAUUCACCAUAGCAGGAGUUUCCAAAGACGCUAUACUACUUCGCCUCUUCCCAUUCUCACUGUUAGGAAGAGCGAAGCAGUGGUUCUACGCUACAAAGGAGAAGAAUACUACGUGGGCACUCUGCUCAACAAACUUCCUGGCUAAGUUCUUUCCCAUGGGCAAGACCAAUGCUCUCCGUGGGAAGAUUACAAGUUUUCAGCAACAAAAUGAUGAAUCUGUUCCAGAAGCAUGGGAGCGCUUUCAAGACUACAUCCUAGAAUGUCCCCAUCAUGGAAUGGAGAGUUGGCUAUUGAUGCAGACAUUCUAUCAUGGGCUCAGCAACAGUGCCCGAGAGACUAUGGAUGCUGCUGCUGGAGGAGCAUUCUUAUCACUUACUAUACCACAAGCCACAGCUCUUGUGGAGAAGAUGGCGUCCAAUCAAAGCUGGAAUGAAGAGAGGACCCAGACACGCAAGAGAGGUGGAGGUAUGCAUCAGCUGAAGGAGGUAGACAUGCUGUCUGCAAAGCUAGACCUGCUCAUGAAGAAGCUCGAUGAUAGAGCUGGAGACAAGAAAGAAGUUAUGCACAUCUACGAUUCUCACAUGACUUGUGAGGAGUGUGGAGACACUGGACACUCAGGCAACCACUGCCCUGAGAUACUUGAGGAUGUGAACUACAUCAACAACAACAACAACUACUACAACCGUCCUCAACAAAAUCAAGGUUGGAAUCAACAGAGGCCUAACUACUCAGGUAAUUAUCAAGGUAACAAUUCUUACAACAACAAUAAUAAUUUUCCACCUUUGAGAGAGUUAGUGUCUAAUCAAGGAAAGCUAAUGGAUAAUCUAUCUAAGAAAUUGGCAUCUAAUGAUAAAAUGCUAGAAAAUAUAAAUAAUAGAAUGGAUAAUUUCUCUACUGCCAUCAAGAAUCAAAUUAGCUUUAAUAAAAUGAUUGAAUCUCAGUUAAAUCAAAUAGCUGCUGCUGUUCCUACUACUAACCCCGGUAUACCAUCACAACUGGAAGGAUUAGAAUCUGCAAAUCUUGUAGACGUGUUUGAUGCAGGUAAUUGGAGUAACCCCGUCAAUGAAUUUUCUACUGACCGUCUGCCGGUCAAGAGAGGCGAUCCAGGACGCCCCGUCAUCCCGAUCUCUAUCGGCAUGGUGGAUGUCCCAGAAGCACUCUGUGACUUUGGCUCCAGUGUCAACAUUAUACCCAGGGUACUCUAUGAAAAAUUCUUUACAUAUCCUUUAUUAGAGACAACCAUGUGUUUGCAGUUUGCAGAUCAGACGAUAACUUUUCCAAAAGGAAUAGUGAGGAACCUUUGUGUCCGAGUUGGUACCUUGUAUGCCCCAGCAGACUUCGUAGUGGUAGAGACCGGAAAUGAUGAGAGAGCACAUAUCAUCCUAGGGAGGCCAUUUCUGAACACCACGGGAGCUAUCAUCUACGCCAGUGCUGCCAAGAUCAGUUUCUACGUCAAAGGGAAGAAGGAGACAUUUUUCUUCAAGAACAAGACUACACAAAUUCCAAAUCAAUCCAGACGUGAAUCAAGGAAGAGGACCAACAGGAGGAACAGGAACAAGCAAGUGUGGACCGAGUCAGCUAAGAUGGUCACUGUAGUCCAUGGAGGCCAAAAUCACCAAUUGAAGUCACCGUUUUUUACCAAGAAGGACGACCCAGGAAUGCCAAGCAUUUACUGCUCCAUAAAUGGAUACAACUUCUACAAGACGAUUUGCGACACCGGAUCAGGCGUCAACAUAAUGGCCGCAGUCACCUAUCGGCUCUUGUUCGAGACCAUGCCACUAAGACCAAUAUACAUUCAGCUCCAGAUGGCAGAUCAGACAUUUCGAGAAGUUCAAGGAAUAGUAUCUGAUGUCCCAGUCAAAAUAGACGAUCACUUUGUCUACACAGACUUUCAAGUUGUUGACAUGGGAGAAGACGAGUAUGAUCCACCCAUCAUCCUUGGAAGACCAUUCCUCAGCACCGUUAAAGCCAAUAUCUACAUUGGAACCGGAGAAGUCCAUAUGCACUUCCCCUCAGAGAAGGUACGCCGUUAUUUUAGUGACCCUAACUAUAUCGUUGAAGAAUCUAAGCAGAUAAGAAAACGACGCAACCGCAACCAGAGGAGGCAGAUCAUCAGGGACGGAUGGGCAGACUAUGAAGGAGAAGUUGUAAGGUCAGAAGACGUAGAGUUUAAACAAAAUUAUCCAGAGGAGAUUGAAGCACCGAGUCAGGUAUGGAAAAUGAAGAUAACUAUACAAGAAGAGGAGGCGCUGCCGGAAGUACCGACUACGCCACCCAACGAACCUCAGGACGAUUAAGAAAUUGGAGAGUCCCGUUCGGAGGACUUAAAAACACCGAACGCCUUGCCAAGAGGUAAACUUGGUAGUUAUCCUUUCCCUUUCAAUUAUUUCAAAUAGUUUACUUAGUUAAUCAUGUUCAUACUAUCUUAAAAAAAGAAAAUAAAAAUGUGAAGAAACUUAAGCCCCAUGUGAGUAGACGAGUGGCAUAAAACCCAUAAGUAUAUUCACUGUGGUGGCAUAAAAAUAAAAUAAAUAUUUUUCUGCUUUAUAAAGACAAAAAUAUAAAAAUAGGGAGUAGCAAUUAUUAAGGAGUCUCAAGAUAAUGAAGGCUAUAUAUUUAUGCUAACACUUAAUCAGUUCCACAAGCUUUGUUGUCUAUUUGAGCUCCACAGAAUUUAAGAAUCAAGAAGACUAGCAGAAGGAGGACAUUCUAAUCGCUGUCAGAAGGCUGCUGACUUUCAAAUACACCUCUGCCACCUGCUAGCUACAUCAAGAGAAAUUACGUCAAAAUUCAGCUUGGGGGAGAGCACCCCCAUUUAUAUCGAUAAGUAUUUCUAUCUAUCUAUCUUUAUACUUAUAUUAUUUUAGAAUAUUAAUACACAUAAACUAUGGGAAAACCAAAUAAAUAUUUUAUGCUUAUAUAUAUAUAUUACUUAGUGUGUUUAAUAAAUAAAUAAAGUGGCUAUGCUAAUCUGUAUCUAAUAAAACUUAAGCAUGGAUAUGAUGAAUAGUUGCUCUGCCUAAUUUGCACAUUUUAAGUUCUCUCUCAAGUUUAGACAUAACUGUUAUAAUUUAAAGCUUGCUCUAGACCUAAACUUGUGGGAUGAAAACUUGAUCUGAAGUAUAAGUUGUUAACGGAUACGAUAUAGGAAGGUUGAGCUGCUGUUUAUCUGUUUCUAGAGAUGCUAGAAUUCUGGAGAAUUUUAUCUUUGAAAAUCUUUAAAAAGUUGCAUGAUGAGUUCCUGUAUGAUGAGAGCUUAAAAUUCCUACCACAGCCAUAUAUACAUGCUUGCUAGACUUUGAGCCACGCAUUUACUAUUUACUGCUUAUGAGCAUUGAGUAUGGUCAAGCUGUGUAGACCCUUAGGAGCUUGUCAUGUGGUUAAAUCAAGAUUUCACUUGCACGUUCACUCAUAUAUGCUACUUCUACUCCGGAAGUACCAUCCACAUACAUCCACUCAUUUCCAUCUCCAGAACCACCUAAAAAUAUUCUACUCCUAAUCCGGGAGAGAAUAACCAAAAAUAUUUCUGUUUUCCCCUUGUGAAAUAAAUGCUCAAGUUAUCUUGUUACUACCACUUGCUAUAUUAUCUCAAGCGAUGAAUGCUCUAAAAAAAAGAGAGAGAAGAAUAAUACGAGGAAAUAAAAAGGAGCAAGUGCUCGGAACCUCGAAAAAAAAAAUAAAAAGAGUGAGACGAGAGGUAAAAAUGGACAAGUGUCCGACAGUAGAAUUAGGGGUGCAAGAUACCCACCUGAGAGAAAAGAAAAAAAGAAGAGCAUCUCAUUCUCCUCAUAAAGUUUCAAAAGCAAGGAAGGUAUGUAUCCCCUUAAAGAGCAAAAGUAGAAUUAGACUUCCACCACCAUUGUUAUCACCAUCAUCACCAUAUACCAUUCAUUCGCCACACAUGCACAUCUUGAUUAAACUUAUUGACUUGUUACUUUGGAUCCAUGGUUUGACUAUGCAAUAAAUGUCUUGUAAGUAUUUAUACUUUAUCUCCCACCUAUGAGCUCCAGAUAUUAAAGCCUUAUUAGAGUAGGGUGAGAGAGAAGGCAUAUACCAUCAAUGCCUUGGUAAGAAUCCAAAAAUACCACAAAAGAGAGACCUGAGAGAAUCAUACAAGGAAUUCUGAGUUUUAUUUGAAAAUCUGCAAAAAUCCAAGAGCUAUAGCUGAUCAAGAAUAAGAGACAUGGCACUUGGCUAGACUGUUCUAUCUUUUAACCACUCAAGACAGAAGUGACAGUUACAAGUCCCAUGGUGAAGGUAAAGUAAGUAAGUUUUAAGUCUUGACAGUUUACUCUAACUCAAAGAUGAGAUCUUAUUUAAAAGCAUGUGUACCGUCAAAUUUUUAAAAGAUAUUGCAACAACUUAUGAUCCAUAGCUGAGUCUAUCCUUGCUCAGGGACGAGCAAGAGGUAAGCUUGGGGGAGUUUGUUGACGGUCCUUAAGUAUCAAAUUUAAUUAUCAAAUAAAUAAAGAAAAGGAUCCAAAUGAAAUAAAGAUCUAGAAUUAGGGUUUUAUCUGACAGAAUUCCACGAGUUUUGGUGUUUGUCUAUUUCUGCAGGG
RNAcentral lists this long non-coding RNA (15376 nucleotides) under Sorghum bicolor (sorghum). RNAcentral describes it as "long non-coding RNA (SBIC_LNC008634)". Lineage: Eukaryota; Viridiplantae; Streptophyta; Magnoliopsida; Poales; Poaceae. The record is from RNAcentral.